AAUAAGGGAGCUGCAAUAGCGGCUGAGAGGAAGCGGAACGCUUCGACCUUUUGACCUGAUUUGGGUAAUGCCAACGGAGGGAAUGUGA
This 88-nucleotide non-coding RNA is filed under the name uncultured Pseudoramibacter sp. RNAcentral describes it as "TPP riboswitch (THI element)". It matches the Rfam family "TPP riboswitch aptamer (THI element)", at positions 9 to 90 of the family's 105-position model. From Rfam's summary of the family: Vitamin B(1) in its active form thiamin pyrophosphate (TPP) is an essential coenzyme that is synthesised by coupling of pyrimidine and thiazole moieties in bacteria. The previously detected thiamin-regulatory element, thi box was extended, resulting in a new, highly conserved RNA secondary structure, the THI element, which is widely distributed in eubacteria and also occurs in some archaea. The record is from RNAcentral. Lineage: Bacteria; Bacillati; Bacillota; Clostridia; Eubacteriales; Eubacteriaceae.